RNAcentral lists this ribosomal RNA (428 nucleotides) under uncultured bacterium. Its description in RNAcentral is "bacterial SSU rRNA". It matches the Rfam family "Bacterial small subunit ribosomal RNA", at positions 355 to 786 of the family's 1533-position model. The record is from RNAcentral.
UGAGGAAUAUUGGUCAAUGGGCGAGAGCCUGAACCAGCCAAGUAGCGUGCAGGAUGACGGCCCUAUGGUUGGUAAACUGCUUUUAUACGGGAUAAGUUGGACUGUCCCAUUGCUAGGUACCGUAUGAAUAAGGACCGGCUAAUUCCGUGCCAGCAGCCGCGGUAAUACGGAAGGUCCGGGCGUUAUCCGGAUUUAUUGGGUUUAAAGGGAGCGUAGGCCGGAGAUUAAGCGUGUUGUGAAAUGUAGGAGCUCAACUUCUGCACUGCAGCGCGAACUGGUUUCCUUGAGUACGUAGGAAGUUGGCGGAAUUCGUGGUGUAGCGGUGAAAUGCUUAGAUAUCACGAAGAACUCCGAUUGCGAAGGCAGCUGACUGUAUCGUAACUGACGCUGAAGCUCGAAAGUGUGGGUAUCGAACAGGAUUAGAUACC